This 388-nucleotide ribosomal RNA is filed under the name uncultured bacterium. RNAcentral describes it as "bacterial SSU rRNA". It matches the Rfam family "Bacterial small subunit ribosomal RNA", at positions 125 to 507 of the family's 1533-position model. The record is from RNAcentral.
CUAACCUUUCACAGAGGGAUAGCCCAGAGAAAUUUGGAUUAAUACCUCAUAGUAUAGCGAGUUUCGCGAUGAAACCACUAUUAAAGUCACAACGGUGAAAGAUGAGCAUGCGUCCCAUUAGCUAGUUGGUAAGGUAACGGCUUACCAAGGCAACGAUGGGUAGGGGUCCUGAGAGGGAGAUCCCCCCACACUGGUACUGAGACACGGACCAGACUCCCUACGGGAGGCAGCAGUGAGGAAUAUUGGACAAUGGGCGCAAGCCUGAUCCAGCCAUGCCGCGUGCAGGAUGACGGUCCUAUGGAUUGUAAACUGCUUUUAUACAGGAAGAAACACUACUUCGUGAAGUAGCUUGACGGUACUGUAAGAAUAAGGAUCGGCUAACUCCGUG